GAUGAACGCUGGCGGCGUGCCUAAUACAUGCAAGUCGAGCGAACAGACGAGGAGCUUGCUCCUCUGACGUUAGCGGCGGACGGGUGAGUAACACGUGGAUAACCUACCUAUAAGACUGGGAUAACUUCGGGAAACCGGAGCUAAUACCGGAUAAUAUAUUGAACCGCAUGGUUCAAUAGUGAAAUACGGUUUUGCUGUCACUUAUAGAUGGAUCCCCGCCGCAUUAGCUAGUUGGUAAGGUAACGGCUUACCAAGGCAACGAUGCGUAGCCGACCUGAGAGAGUGAUCGGCCACACUGGAACUGAGACACGGUCCAGACUCCUACGGGAGGCAGCAGUAGGGAAUCUUCCGCAAUGGGCGAAAGCCUGACGGAGCAACGCGGAGUGAGAGAUAAAGGUCUUCGGAUCGUAAAACUCUGUUAUUAGGGAAGAACAAAUGUGUAAGUAACUAUGCACGGCUUGACGGUACCUAAUAAGAAAGCCACGGCUAACUACGUG
This 497-nucleotide ribosomal RNA is filed under the name uncultured bacterium. RNAcentral's name for it is "partial 16S ribosomal RNA". It matches the Rfam family "Bacterial small subunit ribosomal RNA", at positions 28 to 507 of the family's 1533-position model. The record is from RNAcentral.